AACAGGCUUAUCUCCCCCAAGAGUCCACAUCGACGGGGAGGUUUGGCACCUCGAUGUCGGCUCAUCACAUCCUGGGGCUGUAGUAGGUCCCAAGGGUUGGGCUGUUCGCCCAUUAAAGUGGUACGCGAGCUGGGUUCAGAACGUCGUGAGACAGUUCGGUCCCUAUCCGUCGCAGGCGUAGGAAAUUUGAGAAGACCUGUCCUUAGUACGAGAGGACCGGGAUGGACGUACCUCUGGUGUACCAGUUGUCCUGCCAAGGGCAUGGCUGGGUAGCUAUGUACGGAAUGGAUAAGCGCUGAAAGCAUCUAAGCGCGAAGCCAACUUCAAGAUAAGAUUUCCCACCGCAAGGGUAAGACCCCAGAAAGACUAUCUGGUUGAUAGGUCGAAGGUGUAAGUGUAGCAAUGUAUUUAGCUUAUCGAUACUAAUAGGUCGAGGACUUGACCAAU
This 447-nucleotide ribosomal RNA is filed under the name Clostridioides difficile. RNAcentral's name for it is "partial 23S ribosomal RNA". It matches the Rfam family "Bacterial large subunit ribosomal RNA", at positions 2476 to 2925 of the family's 2925-position model. Lineage: Bacteria; Bacillati; Bacillota; Clostridia; Peptostreptococcales; Peptostreptococcaceae. The record is from RNAcentral.